This 332-nucleotide ribosomal RNA is filed under the name uncultured Geothermobacter sp. Its description in RNAcentral is "bacterial SSU rRNA". It matches the Rfam family "Bacterial small subunit ribosomal RNA", at positions 568 to 898 of the family's 1533-position model. The record is from RNAcentral. Lineage: Bacteria; Pseudomonadati; Thermodesulfobacteriota; Desulfuromonadia; Desulfuromonadales; Geothermobacteraceae.
CGUGCAGGCGGCCGACUAAGUCCGGUGUGAAAGCCCGGGGCUCACCCCCGGAAGUGCGCUGGAAACUGGUCGGCUAGAGUACGGGAGAGGGAAGCGGAAUUCCUGGUGUAGCGGUGAAAUGCGUAGAUAUCAGGAGGAACACCGGCGGCGAAGGCGGCUUCCUGGACCGAUACUGACGCUGAGACGCGAAAGCGUGGGGAGCAAACAGGAUUAGAUACCCUGGUAGUCCACGCUGUAAACGAUGGGUACUAGGUGUCGCGGGUGUUGACCCCUGCGGUGCCGCAGCUAACGCAUUAAGUACCCCGCCUGGGGAUUACGGUCGCAAGAUUAAA